AGAACCUUCUUGCUGUGUCAUCCUGGGGGGGAAGGGCAAAGAAAAGAUGAGAGAAAGAGGAAGAAGAGUCAAACUCAUCCUGUUAUAAGGUCCCACCUCCUAACACUGUUGCAUUGGGGAUCAACUUUCCAAAACAUGACCUUUGGGGGACAUAUUCAAACCAUAGCAGCACUUCUUUGCUUUCUGGCACUGCCAGCACUCCAAGAUCAUCUUGAAUAUUUCCUGUCCCAGUCUAAAAUCAGCCAUUUUUCCAAAGGACCUUGGUUUCUUUUGUUGCAGAAUGGUGUUAGAGACCAAUAUCUGGUGCUGGGUGUGCAAAGGAUUCUCUUUUCAUUAUGGAUAGUAUUUCCCAUCAGCCUCCCAGCAGACUACUCAUUUUGUUUUUGCAGCAAUGUCUGCUAACUGUGCCCCCAAGUUUAUUCUCCUCUUCCCAUUGUAAUCAAAUUUUAUCUGAGCAUAUAGGACUCCUAUAAUAAAGAGUUCAUUCCC
Molecule: long non-coding RNA, 489 nt
Organism: Macaca mulatta (Rhesus monkey)
Lineage: Eukaryota; Metazoa; Chordata; Mammalia; Primates; Cercopithecidae
Source: RefSeq, a predicted model, not a curated record